ACCUCCCAGAGCCCCUCUCUUCCCCUCACAGAAUCACAGAAUGGUUCAGGAAGGACAAUUUCAGACAGUCAGAAGGGCAUCCCUAAAGGGGCAGGUAGAGGCACAGACCUGCAAUAACAAGUGCAACUGUCUCCCCUUCCCUAAAAGGAGGGGGAAAAGACUACAAUAAAGAACUUAAAUCUUCUCUCAGCUUUGGCUGUGCUCCCACAGCACUGAGCAGCAACUUCCAUCACCAAUUUCAGACAGUCUGGACCUGGGAGUCCAGUCUGAUCCAAGCUGCAGUGGGGUAAUACUGGAGCAGGAGUACAGAAAGUCCAUGGUCU
Molecule: long non-coding RNA, 323 nt
Organism: Empidonax traillii (willow flycatcher)
Lineage: Eukaryota; Metazoa; Chordata; Aves; Passeriformes; Tyrannidae
Exons: 3
Source: RefSeq, a predicted model, not a curated record